GUAGUUUUGUACCACUCAAAAUGGCGCUUUUGGAUCUUAGCGGUAGGGAAAAAAACCAGCAUAUCGGAUUGGAUUAGGAAACAAUGUUGCUGAGACGUUGCAUCACUUCAUGAGGAGCCUAUGAUAUAGCAGAUGAAUAAUCUCCUUGUCUUCUAACUUUCUAAGGAUAAACACACCGCCUAAUUGGUGCGUUCGAACUAGAAGGCAAUACUAGUCACCAGAUCUGAUAAUUUUGUUGCAAAAAUAGUUUAAUCUCUA
Long non-coding RNA from Aegilops tauschii subsp. strangulata, 258 nucleotides. RefSeq lists it as uncharacterized. Lineage: Eukaryota; Viridiplantae; Streptophyta; Magnoliopsida; Poales; Poaceae. The record is from RefSeq and is a predicted model, not a curated record.